CAGCAGCCACGGUAAUACGUAGGUGGCAAGCGUUGUCCGGAGUUAUUGGGCGUAAAGGGCUCGCAGGCGGUUUCUUAAGUCUGAUGUGAAAGCCCCCGGCUCAACCGGGGAGGGUCAUUGGAAACUGGGAAACUUGAGUGCAGAAGAGGAGAGUGGAAUUCCACGUGUAGCGGUGAAAUGCGUAGAGAUGUGGAGGAACACCAGUGGCGAAGGCGACUCUCUGGUCUGUAACUGACGCUGAGGAGCGAAAGCGUGGGGAGCGAACAGGAUUAGAUACCCGAGUAGUCCCUGUCUCUUAUAC
Molecule: ribosomal RNA, 301 nt
Filed under: uncultured bacterium
Lineage: Bacteria
Description: partial 16S ribosomal RNA
Rfam family: Bacterial small subunit ribosomal RNA
Source: RNAcentral